CAAGGAACUAUUGAAUGGGUUCCUAUGAGAAGUUGAAGAAAAGUUAUGGAUAAUGAAAACAACGCUCCUUCGUUAUUAAAGUCGAUUGAGGGCUAUGAUCCUAUAUUUUUCGAAUUGUUCGUCGACCAAAAACAGGUGUUUAUUUUGGAUGGUCCGGAGUUUUUGGCUGCAACUAUGUUGGACAGAGAUAUGCUUGCUAUUGCUGUAAAUUGGUACCAUGUCGGUUGGUUUUGCUUGGUAAGGUUAGACUUUCCUAAUAAGUUUGCUUGAUUUACGGGAUUAGAUAUUAGUGAU
Molecule: long non-coding RNA, 294 nt
Organism: Helianthus annuus (common sunflower)
Lineage: Eukaryota; Viridiplantae; Streptophyta; Magnoliopsida; Asterales; Asteraceae
Exons: 3
Source: RefSeq, a predicted model, not a curated record